CUUCCGAGUUCCCUGGAACGGGACGCCAUAGAGGGUGAGAGCCCCGUCUGGUUGGAUGCCAAAUCUCUGUAAAGUUCCUUCGACGAGUCGAGUAGUUUGGGAAUGCUGCUCUAAAUGGGAGGUAUAUGUCUUCUAAAGCUAAAUAUUGGCCAGAGACCGAUAGCGCACAAGUAGAGUGAUCGAAAGAUGAAAAGCACUUUGAAAAGAGAGUUAAAAAGUACGUGAAAUUGUUGAAAGGGAAGCGUUUAUGACCAGACUUGGACUUGGUUAAUCAUCUGGGGUUCUCCCCAGUGCACUUUUCCAGUUCAGGCCAGCAUCAGUUUUCGCCGGGGGAUAAAGGCUUCGGGAAUGUAGCUCUCUUCGGGGAGUGUUAUAGCCCGUUGUGUAAUACCCUGGCGGAGACUGAGGUUCGCGCUUCUGCAAGGAUGCUGGCGUAAUGGUCAUCAACGACCCGUCUUGAAACACGGACCAAGGAGUCGUCUUCGUAUGCGAGUGUUCGGGUGUCAAACCCCUACGCGUAAUGAAAGUGAACGCAGGUGAGAGCUUCGGCGCAUCAUCGACCGAUCCUGAUGUUCUCGGAUGGAUUUGAGUAAGAGCAUACGGGGCCGGACCCGAAAGAAGGUGAACUAUGCCUGUAUAGGGUGAAGCCAGAGGAA
Molecule: ribosomal RNA, 656 nt
Filed under: Fusarium acuminatum
Lineage: Eukaryota; Fungi; Ascomycota; Sordariomycetes; Hypocreales; Nectriaceae
Description: partial large subunit ribosomal RNA
Rfam family: Eukaryotic large subunit ribosomal RNA
Source: RNAcentral